AACGAACGCUGGCGGCAUGCCUAACACAUGCAAGUCGAACGAGACCUUCGGGUCUAGUGGCGCACGGGUGCGUAACGCGUGGGAACCUGCCCUUAGGUUCGGAAUAACUCCCCGAAAGGGGUGCUAAUACCGGAUAAUGUCUUCGGACCAAAGAUUUAUCGCCUUUGGAUGGGCCCGCGUUGGAUUAGCUAGUUGGUAGGGUAAAAGCCUACCAAGGCGACGAUCCAUAGCUGGUCUGAGAGGAGGAUCAGCCACACUGGGACUGAGACACGGCCCAGACUCCUACGGGAAGCAGCAGUGGGGAAUAUUGGACAAUGGGCGAAAGCCUGAUCCAGCAAUGCCGCGUGAGUGAUGAAGGCCUUAGGGUUGUAAAGCUCUUUUACCCGGGAUGAUAAUGACAGUACCGGGAGAAUAAGCUCCGGCUAACUCCGUG
Molecule: ribosomal RNA, 433 nt
Filed under: uncultured bacterium
Lineage: Bacteria
Description: partial 16S ribosomal RNA
Rfam family: Bacterial small subunit ribosomal RNA
Source: RNAcentral